UGGGGAAUCUUGCGCAAUGGACGAAAGUCUGACGCAGCGACGCCGCGUGGGUGAUGAAGGCCUUCGGGUUGUAAAGCCCUGUGGGGCGGGACGAAUAAGUAGAAGCUAAUACCUUCUAUGAUGACGGUACCGCCUUAGCAAGCACCGGCUAACUCUGUGCCAGCAGCCGCGGUAAGACAGAGGGUGCAAACGUUGUUCGGAAUUACUGGGCGUAAAGCGUGUGUAGGCGGCUAGGUAAGUCGGAUGUGAAAGCCCCAGGCUCAACCUGGGAAGUGCACUCGAUACUGCUUAGCUCGAGUACUGGAGAGGUUGGUGGAAUUCUCGGUGUAGAGGUGAAAUUCGUAGAUAUCGAGAGGAACACCGGUGGCGAAGGCGGCCAACUGGACAGAUACUGACGCUGAGACACGAAAGCGUGGGGAGCAAACA
RNAcentral lists this ribosomal RNA (426 nucleotides) under uncultured Pajaroellobacter sp. RNAcentral describes it as "bacterial SSU rRNA". It matches the Rfam family "Bacterial small subunit ribosomal RNA", at positions 355 to 774 of the family's 1533-position model. The record is from RNAcentral. Lineage: Bacteria; Pseudomonadati; Myxococcota; Polyangiales; Polyangiaceae.